AUACGUAGGUGACAAGCGUUAUCCGGAUUUACUGGGUGUAAAGGGCGUGUAGGCGGUUUAGCAAGUCAGAAGUGAAAUUCCCGGGCUUAACUUGGGCGCUGCUUCUGAAACUGCUUUACUUGAGUGCUGGAGAGGAUAGUGGAAUUCCUAGUGUAGCGGUACAAUGCGCAGAUAUUAGGAGGAACACCGGUGGCGAAGGCGGCUAUCUGGACAGUAACUGACGCUGAGGCGCGAAAGCACGGGGAGCAAACAGGAUUAGAUACCCUGGUAGUCCGUGCCGUAAACGAUGAAUACUAGGUGUAGGGGGUAUCGACUCCCUCUGUGCCGCAGUUAACACAUUAAGUAUUCCACCUGGGGAGUACGGCCGCAAGGUUGAAACUCAAAGGAAUUGACGGGG
RNAcentral lists this ribosomal RNA (397 nucleotides) under uncultured bacterium. Its description in RNAcentral is "partial 16S ribosomal RNA". It matches the Rfam family "Bacterial small subunit ribosomal RNA", at positions 523 to 918 of the family's 1533-position model. The record is from RNAcentral.